GUCGAGCGGACGGAUGGGAGCUUGCUCCCUGUGGUUUUCGGCGCGCGGGUGUGUAACACGUGGGUAACCUGCCCCUUUGACAGGGAUAACUCCGGGAAAACGGGGCUAAUACCCCGGGGUUGUUUGAAACCGCGGGUUCAAUUAUGUAAGGUGGGUUUUACCUAUCACUUCCAAAUGGACCCGCGGCGUAUUACCUAGUUGGGAAGGUAACGGCUCACCCAGGCAACAAUGCGUACCCAACCUGAAAGGGGGACCGGCCCCCCGGGACCGGAACCCCGGCCCAAACUCCUACGGGAGGCACCAUUAGGGAACCUUCCGCAAUGGACAAAAGUCUGACGAACCACCGCCCCGGGAUGGGAAAAGGUUUUCGAAUCCCCUUUCUCUGUUGUUAGCCACGGGCGUGUACCGUUUAAAAAGGCCGGUACCUUGAGGGCACCAAACCAAAAAGCCACCGCUAACAACAGGCCACCACCCGCGGUAAUACUUAGGUGGCAACCGUUGUCCGGAAUUAUUGGGCGUAAAGCGAGCGCAGGCGCUUUCUUAACUCUGAUUUGAAAGCCCCCGGCUCAACCGGGGAGGGUCAUUGGAAACUGGGGAACUUGAGUGCAGAAGAGGAGAGUGGAAUUCCACGUGUAGCGGUGAAAUGCGUAGAGAUGUGGAGGAACGCCGUCCACUCACGAGGAGUGCUGAUGCUUAACGUACGCUGAGGCGCGAAAGCGUGGGGAGCGGACAGGAUUAGACCUACUGGUACUCCACGCCGUAAACGAUGAGUGGUAAGUGUCGAAGGGUUUCCGCCCUUUAGUGCUGCAGCAAACGCAUUAAGCACUCCGCCUGGGGAGUACGGUCGCAAGACUGAAACUCAAAGGAAUUGACGGGGGCCCGCACAAGCGGUGGAGCAUGUGGUUUAAUUCGAAGCAACGCGAAGAACCUUACCAGGUCUUGACAUCCUCUGACCACCCUAGAGAUAGGGCUUCACCUUCGGGGGCAGAGUGACAGGUGGUGCAUGGUUCUCGUCAGCUCGUGUCGUGAGAUGUUGGGUUAAGUCCCGCAACGAGCGCAACCCUUCGCCUUAUUGCUA
RNAcentral lists this ribosomal RNA (1078 nucleotides) under Bacillus sonorensis. RNAcentral's name for it is "bacterial SSU rRNA". It matches the Rfam family "Bacterial small subunit ribosomal RNA", at positions 61 to 1120 of the family's 1533-position model. The record is from RNAcentral. Lineage: Bacteria; Bacillati; Bacillota; Bacilli; Caryophanales; Bacillaceae.